UCCGAGUUGACCCCGGCGGUCUCCCGUGAGUCCCCAGCACCACAAGGGCCUGCUGGCAACACGGGACAAGGGUUGCGCUCGUUGCGGGACUUAACCCAACAUCUCACGACACGAGCUGACGACAGCCAUGCACCACCUGUACACCGUCCACAAGGGAGGCCAUGUCUCCACAGCUUUCCGGCGUAUGUCAAGCCUUGGUAAGGUUCUUCGCGUUGCGUCGAAUUAAGCCACAUGCUCCGCCGCUUGUGCGGCCCCCGUCAAUUCCUUUGAGUUUUAGCCUUGCGGCCGUACUCCCCAGGCGGGGCACUUAAUGCGUUAGCUGCGGCACGGACCACGUGGAAUGCGGCCCACACCUAGUGCCCACCGUUUACGGCGUGGACUAC
Molecule: unclassified non-coding RNA, 383 nt
Filed under: uncultured Actinomycetes bacterium
Lineage: Bacteria; Bacillati; Actinomycetota; Actinomycetes
Description: uncultured actinobacterium contains 16S-23S intergenic spacer region
Source: RNAcentral